RNAcentral lists this long non-coding RNA (257 nucleotides) under Brassica napus (rape). Its description in RNAcentral is "long non-coding RNA (BNAP_LNC026438)". The record is from RNAcentral. Lineage: Eukaryota; Viridiplantae; Streptophyta; Magnoliopsida; Brassicales; Brassicaceae.
CUUGGUAUGGCAUAUAUCUGAAACUAGAUCGAUUGUAUUAAUAACCCGAAUUUGUAUUUCCGUCAAAUCUUGCAUCUCCUUUUUCAUAGCUCGAUUGAAACCCUAGGUCUACAAAUCGCGAUAUUCUCUCCACAUGUUCUUUCUUAAACUUCAUUCUCAAAUAUGCAUUUUGAUUUUCUCUUAUCAUUUCAGCGACUUAGAAAUCUGAAACCCUAAAUUCAAAAUUUAAUCUAGUUUGUUUAUUCCUUAAAAGGGGA